RNAcentral lists this ribosomal RNA (501 nucleotides) under uncultured bacterium. Its description in RNAcentral is "partial 16S ribosomal RNA". It matches the Rfam family "Bacterial small subunit ribosomal RNA", at positions 30 to 523 of the family's 1533-position model. The record is from RNAcentral.
AUUGAACGCUGGCGGCAUGCCUUACACAUGCAAGUCGAACGGCAGCACGGGUGCUUGCACCUGGUGGCGAGUGGCGAACGGGUGAGUAAUACAUCGGAACGUACCUUAUCGUGGGGGAUAACGCAGCGAAAGCUGUGCUAAUACCGCAUACGCCCUGAGGGGGAAAGCGGGGGAUCGAAAGACCUCGUGCGAAUAGAGAGGCCGAUGCCUGAUUAGCCUGUUGGGGGGGUGAAAGCCCACCAAGGCGACGAUCAGUAACUGGUCUGGGAGGAAGAUCCGACAGACUGGCACUGAGACACGGACCAGACUGCUACGGGAGGCAGCAGUGGGGAAUUUUGGACAAUGGGGGCAACCCUGUUACAGCCAUGCCGCGUGAGUGAAAAAGGCCUUAGUUUUGUAAAGCACUUUUGUCAGGGAAGAAUCACCGGCUCUAACCCAGUCCGGGAAUUACGGUACCUGAAGAAUAAGCACCGGCUAACUACGUGCCCGCAGCCGCCGUAA